GAUGAACGCUGGCGGCGUGCCUAGUACAUGCAAGUCGAGCGAACGGACGAGAAGCUUGCUUCUCUGAUGUUAGCGGCGGACGGGUGAGUAACACGUGGAUAACCUACCUAUAAGACUGGGAUAACUUCGGGAAACCGGAGCUAAUACCGGAUGAUAUUCUGAACCGCAUGGUUCAAAAGUGAAAGACGGUCUUGCUGUCACUUAUAGAUGGAUCCGCGCUGCAUUAGCUAGUUGGUAAGGUAACGGCUUACCAAGGCAACGAUGCAUAGCCGACCUGAGAGGGGGGUCGGCCACACUGGAACUGAGACACGGUCCAGACUCCUACGGGAGGCAGCAGUAGGGAAUCUUCCGCAAUGGGCGAAAGCCUGACGGAGCAACGCCGCGUGAGUGAUGAAGGUCUUCGGAUCGUAAAACUCUGUUAUUAGGGAAGAACAUAUGUGUAAGUAACUGUGCACAUCUUGACGGUACCUAAUCAGAAAGCCACGGCUAACUACGUG
This 497-nucleotide ribosomal RNA is filed under the name uncultured bacterium. RNAcentral describes it as "partial 16S ribosomal RNA". It matches the Rfam family "Bacterial small subunit ribosomal RNA", at positions 28 to 507 of the family's 1533-position model. The record is from RNAcentral.